RNAcentral lists this ribosomal RNA (498 nucleotides) under uncultured bacterium. RNAcentral's name for it is "partial 16S ribosomal RNA". It matches the Rfam family "Bacterial small subunit ribosomal RNA", at positions 28 to 507 of the family's 1533-position model. The record is from RNAcentral.
GACGAACGCUGGCGGCGUGCCUAAUACAUGCAAGUCGAGCGGACGGAUGGGAGCUUGCUCCCAGACCGUCAGCGGCGGACGGGUGAGUAACACGUGGGCAACCUGCCUGUAAGACUGGGAUAACUCCGGGAAACCGGGGCUAAUACCGGAUAACUCUUUCCCUCACAUGAGGGAAAGCUGAAAGAUGGCAUCUCGCUGUCACUUACAGAUGGGCCCGCGGCGCAUUAGCUAGUUGGUGAGGUAACGGCUCACCAAGGCGACGAUGCGUAGCCGACCUGAGAGGGUGAUCGGCCACACUGGGACUGAGACACGGCCCAGACUCCUACGGGAGGCAGCAGUAGGGAAUCUUCCGCAAAGGACGGAAGUCUGACGGAGCAACGCCGCGUGAGUGAUGAAGGUGUUCGGAUCGUAAAACUCUGUUGUCAGGGAAGAACAAGUACCGGAGUAACUGCCGGUACCUUGACGGUACCUGACCAGAAAGCCACGGCUAACUACGUG